UACAGAGGGUGCAAGCGUUAAUCGGAAUUACUGGGCGUAAAGCGUGCGAAGACGGCUGCGUAAGUCAGAUGUGAAAGCCCCGGGCUCAACCUGGGAAUUGCAUUUGAGACUGCGUAGCUAGGGUGCGGAAGAGGGAAGCGGAAUUUCCGGUGUAGCGGUGAAAUGCGUAGAUAUCGGAAGGAACACCAGUGGCGAAAGCGGCUUCCUGGUCCAGCACCGACGUUCAGGCACGAAAGCGUGGGGAGCAAACAGG
RNAcentral lists this ribosomal RNA (253 nucleotides) under uncultured bacterium. RNAcentral's name for it is "partial 16S ribosomal RNA". It matches the Rfam family "Bacterial small subunit ribosomal RNA", at positions 524 to 776 of the family's 1533-position model. The record is from RNAcentral.